GUGGGGAAUAUUGCACAAUGGGCGCAAGCCUGAUGCAGCGACGCCGCGUGAGGGAUGAAGGCCUUCGGGUUGUAAACCUCUUUCGCCAGUGAAGCAGGCCAGGCCUUAUUCGCCUGGUUGACGGUAGCUGGAUAAGAAGCGCCGGCUAACUACGUGCCAGCAGCCGCGGUAAUACGUAGGGCGCAAGCGUUGUCCGGAAUUAUUGGGCGUAAAGAGCUCGUAGGCGGCUGGUCGCGUCUGUCGUGAAAUCCCCUGGCUUAACUGGGGGCUUGCGGUGGGUACGGGCCGGCUUGAGUGCGGUAGGGGAGACUGGAACUCCUGGUGUAGCGGUGGAAUGCGCAGAUAUCAGGAAGAACACCGGUGGCGAAGGCGGGUCUCUGGGCCGUUACUGACGCUGAGGAGCGAAAGCGUGGGGAGCGAACAGGAUUAGAAACCCCAGUAGUCC
This 445-nucleotide ribosomal RNA is filed under the name uncultured bacterium. RNAcentral describes it as "bacterial SSU rRNA". It matches the Rfam family "Bacterial small subunit ribosomal RNA", at positions 354 to 796 of the family's 1533-position model. The record is from RNAcentral.